CUUGGCCGAGAUACACAGACAGUCGCCCAAGGAGAAGACCAAUAAGUCCUCAGCAGUCCGGAGGAGGAAGCGUCCCCAUGCCCACCUGCGGGUACCUCAUCUGGAAGAGGUGAUGAGUCCUGUCACCACCCCCACAGAUGAAGAUGUGGGCCACAGGAUCAAGCACGUGGCAGGUAUGUUCCAGGUGGGAACCGUUGUGUAGAUUGGGACCAUGGGAUGAAGCUGUGUGUCUCUGUCAUGUAUGCUCACUUGAUUUACAUCCUGAGUAGAGUUUGUCCCUUGUCCCUCACAGACCCACUAAGCUCCUGCCUGUCUUGUAUGUCUUCCUCUUCUAACCCACCCUUUGAAUUCUCACGUAUAUUCUCAAUUGUGGAAACC
RNAcentral lists this long non-coding RNA (378 nucleotides) under Rattus norvegicus (Norway rat). RNAcentral's name for it is "long non-coding RNA NONRATT027734". Lineage: Eukaryota; Metazoa; Chordata; Mammalia; Rodentia; Muridae. The record is from RNAcentral.